Molecule: ribosomal RNA, 650 nt
Filed under: uncultured bacterium
Lineage: Bacteria
Description: bacterial SSU rRNA
Rfam family: Bacterial small subunit ribosomal RNA
Source: RNAcentral
GCAAGUCGAACGGUAACAUGAGAGCUUGCUCUUGAUGACGAGUGGCGCACGGGUGCGUAACGCGUAUGCAACCUACCUUUUACUGAGGGAUAGCCCAGAGAAAUUUGGAUUAAUACCUCAUAGUAUCAUAAAUGUUCAUGCAUUAAUGAUUAAAACUUCGGUGGUAAAAGAUGGGCAUGCGUAAGAUUAGCUAGUUGGUAAGGUAACGGCUUACCAAGGCGACGAUCUUUAGGGGGCCUGAGAGGGUGGUCCCCCACACUGGUACUGAGACACGGACCAGACUCCUACGGGAGGCAGCAGUGAGGAAUAUUGGUCAAUGGACGAAAGUCUGAACCAGCCAUGCCGCGUGAAGGAAGAAGGUGUUCUGCAUCGUAAACUUCUUUUAUAUAGGAAGAAACUUCUCUACGUGUAGAGAACUGACGGUACUAUAUGAAUAAGGACCGGCUAACUCCGUGCCAGCAGCCGCGGUAAUACGGAGGGUCCAAGCGUUAUCCGGAUUUAUUGGGUUUAAAGGGUCCGUAGGCGGAUUUUUAAGUCAGUGGUGAAAGCCUGCAGCUCAACUGCAGAACUGCCAUUGAUACUGGAAAUCUUGAGUGUAUUUGAAGUGGGCGGAAUGUGUCAUGUAGCGGUGAAAUGCAUAGAUAUGACAC